CCCAUGGAUUGCCUCAGUAGCGGCGAGUGAGCGGGCAAGAGCUCAGAUUUGAAAUCGUGCUUUGCGGCACGAGUUGUAGAUUGCAGGUUGGAGUCUGUGUGGAAGGCGGUGUCCAAGUCCCUUGGAACAGGGCGCCCAGGAGGGUGAGAGCCCCGUGGGAUGCCGGCGGAAGCAGUGAGGCCCUUCUGACGAGUCGAGUUGUUUGGGAAUA
RNAcentral lists this ribosomal RNA (211 nucleotides) under Pichia kudriavzevii. Its description in RNAcentral is "partial 26S ribosomal RNA". It matches the Rfam family "Eukaryotic large subunit ribosomal RNA", at positions 67 to 282 of the family's 3401-position model. The record is from RNAcentral. Lineage: Eukaryota; Fungi; Ascomycota; Pichiomycetes; Pichiales; Pichiaceae.